This 273-nucleotide ribosomal RNA is filed under the name uncultured bacterium. Its description in RNAcentral is "partial 16S ribosomal RNA". It matches the Rfam family "Bacterial small subunit ribosomal RNA", at positions 524 to 796 of the family's 1533-position model. The record is from RNAcentral.
UACGUAGGGGGCUAGCGUUGUCCGGAUUUAUUGGGCGUAAAGAGCGCGUAGGCGGCCGGGUAAGUCCGACGUGAAAUCUGGAGGCUCAACCUCCAGCGGUCGUUGGAAACUACUCGGCUAGAGUCCGGAAGAGGAGAGUGGAAUUCCUGGUGUAGCGGUGAAAUGCGCAGAUAUCAGGAAGAACACCGAUGGCGAAAGCAGCUCUCUGGGACGGUACUGACGCUGAGGCGCGAAAGCGUGGGGAGCGAACAGGAUUAGAAACCCCCGUAGUCC